Molecule: long non-coding RNA, 1404 nt
Filed under: Homo sapiens (human)
Lineage: Eukaryota; Metazoa; Chordata; Mammalia; Primates; Hominidae
Description: HSALNT0281247
Source: RNAcentral
AGCUGCUUUUUAGCUCGCCGUAAUCCUAUUUGUCAAUUUUUGCUUUUGUCAAAUUUUGCCUGUGGUUUUGAGGUCUUACUCAAGAAAAAUCUUUGUCCAAACCAAUGUCCUGGAGCAUUUCCCCAGGUGUUUUCUUCUGGUAGUUUCAUAGUUUUAGGUCUUACAUUUAAGUCUUUGAUCCAUUUUCAUUUUAUUUAUUUUUGUUGUUGUUGUUUUGUUUUUUGAGACAGGCUGGAGUGCAGCAGUGUGAUCAUAGCUCACUGCCCCUCAAACUUCUGGGCUCAAGUGAUCCUCCUGCCUCAGCCUCCGGAGUCACUGGGAUUACAGGCAAGAAUACCCACAUCAACAAUUGGAAGCAGUCUCGUGGAGUGCUGUGGAAAGGCGGUGGAUGAAGAUUGACUUGGGAACUUUCUCUUCAUUGUUAAUCUGUUUUUUUUUUUAAAUCCUGCGUAUUAUUAUCUAACUAAUUUCCUAAAAGUAAAUUCCACUUUGUUAAAUUGUCAUUUGAUUGUCAUCUUAAGAUAAGCUAUAAGUAUCUUAAAAAAUAAACUAAAAGGUCUUCUUAUCAAAUAUAUGAAUAUAUCAACUCCCCCAUUCUCUCAUACAUUCUUAUUGUUUCCUUAUAGUUAAAGAAAAUUAUUCAGAUUUGGAAAUCCACACUAGGAAGUGUCAUAUUUAAAACAUGGAUAACAUAUAUGCAAUAAGGUGUAAAUGGCUGAAGAGUAAUUUGCAAAAAUGAAAGAAAUACAGAGAACCUUUAUUUUUCCUAUUUUGCCUUUAUGGCGCAAUGGUAUACUAGUAAAUGUUUAACAACUGGCUCUCUGGGGGGAAAAAGCCCGUAUUCACGGCAUUUGCAGAAUUCUGUGGUGCGAAUAUUCCUACCAUGGCCUAUUUUAAGCUAGUGAUGAAAUUUUACUAAAAGCCAGGUUUUGGAGGAGCUGGGAAGAAACGCACACAGUUGGCUCUCCAGAACUGGGGCAGGCAGCUCCAACACUGCCUUUACGUCUUGUGUUCAUCUCUCUCCUUCUACUUCAACACCCAAUCCAGACCUUUAUUACUUCCUGCCUAAAACAUUAUAAUAGUAGAAUGUCAUAAUUUCCUUGCCCUAUCUAUUUCUCAGUGCUCACUCACUGCUUUUAUUAGUCAAUCAAUAAAAAUGACGCUGAGGCCCGAUGAGCAAUCUUCUUCGCACAUUAAAAAAAUUAAUUUUAAUGGCUACAUAAUAGGUGUAUAUAUUUAUGGGGUACAUGUGAUGUUUUGAUACAGGCAUACAAUGUAUGAUAAUCAUAUCAGGGCAAUUGGGGUAUCCGUCACCUCAAGCAUUUAUUAUUUCUUUGUGUUAGGAACCUUCUAAUUCCACUGUUUUAGUUAUUUUGAAGUAUACAAUAAAUUAUUGUUGAUUAU